This is a long non-coding RNA of Xenopus tropicalis (tropical clawed frog), 231 nucleotides long. RefSeq lists it as uncharacterized. The transcript is spliced from 3 exons. The record is from RefSeq and is a predicted model, not a curated record. Lineage: Eukaryota; Metazoa; Chordata; Amphibia; Anura; Pipidae.
UACAGGUUGGACAUAAAUACAGCGUACCAUGAGACCUGGACAGUACAAAAGUUUUAUUCACAGAAACAUUUUUCUGACGAUAAAAAAACAAGAUGUCUCAACACAGCGCUAAUAGCAUGUUUAACAACUUUGGGGACAUUACAGAUUCUCAGUUAGCGGCUGUUAUGGAUGUUGUAUUACCACCAUUGCCCUAUUCACAAACAGAAGAUAUUUUAGGAGUAACAGCUAGAG